GCAUAAUCACUUGUCCCUUAAAUCGGGACUGGAAUGAACGGCUAAAUGAGGACUAAGCUGUCUCUUACAGGCUAGCCAAUGAAAUUGAUUUUCCAGUACAAAAGCUGGAAUAUAACCACAAGACGAGAAGACCCUGUGGAGCUUACAAACCAAAUUCACCAAACAUGUCUUUAUCGGUUUUCAGUUGGGGCGACUUUGGAGUAAAAAACAACCUCCAAACACCAAACUAAUUAAGAACAACAUAUCAAAAUAUAUCUGUAAUGACCCAGCAACCCUGUGGUUGUCUGAUUAAUGAACCAAGUUACCCCAGGGAUAACAGCGCCAUCCCCUUCUAGAGUCCCUAUCGACAAGGGGGUUUACGACCUCGAUGUUGGAUCAGGACACCCCAAUGGUGCAGCCGCCAUUAACGGUUCGUUUGUUCAACGAUUAAAGUCCAACGUGAU
This 443-nucleotide ribosomal RNA is filed under the name Anatololacerta sp. CI-2014a. RNAcentral's name for it is "partial 16S ribosomal RNA". It matches the Rfam family "Bacterial large subunit ribosomal RNA", at positions 1959 to 2604 of the family's 2925-position model. The record is from RNAcentral. Lineage: Eukaryota; Metazoa; Chordata; Lepidosauria; Squamata; Lacertidae.